GAAUAAUUAGAUUGGGCUUUUGCUCCAAUUUGUCGGUUUCUGGAGCUGAGGUGAGAAUUAAUGGGGAUUGUUGGGGGCAUCCGAAUUCAGCCGUCAGAGGUGAAAUUCUUGGAUCGGCUAAAGACGGACAACUGCGAAAGCGUUUGCCCAGGAUGUUUUCAUUGAUCAAGAACGAAAGUUUGGGGAUCGAAGAUGAUUAGAUAC
RNAcentral lists this ribosomal RNA (204 nucleotides) under Fragilariopsis kerguelensis. RNAcentral's name for it is "partial Eukaryotic small subunit ribosomal RNA". It matches the Rfam family "Eukaryotic small subunit ribosomal RNA", at positions 812 to 1015 of the family's 1831-position model. The record is from RNAcentral. Lineage: Eukaryota; Bacillariophyta; Bacillariophyceae; Bacillariales; Bacillariaceae.